GGCUCAGGACGAACGCUGGCGGCGUGCCUAACACAUGCAAGUCGAACGGACGAGGGGAGCUUGCUCCCCAAGUUAGUGGCGGACGGGUGAGUAACACGUGAGCAACCUGCCCUUCGGAGGGGGACAACAGCCGGAAACGGCUGCUAAUACCGCAUGACAUAUCCUUGAGGCAUCUCGGGGAUAUCAAAGAUUUAUCGCCGAAGGAUGGGCUCGCGUCUGAUUAGCUGGUUGGUGAGGUAACGGCUCACCAAGGCGACGAUCAGUAGCCGGACUGAGAGGUUGAACGGCCACAUUGGGACUGAGAUACGGCCCAGACUCCUACGGGAGGCAGCAGUGGGGAAUAUUGGGCAAUGGGGGCAAACCCCUGACCCAGCAACGCCGCGUGAAGGAAGAAGGCUUUCGGGUUGUAAACUUCUUUGACGAGGGACGAUAAUGACGGUACCUCGAAAACAAGCCACGGCUAACUACGUGCCAGCAGCUGC
RNAcentral lists this ribosomal RNA (482 nucleotides) under uncultured bacterium. Its description in RNAcentral is "bacterial SSU rRNA". It matches the Rfam family "Bacterial small subunit ribosomal RNA", at positions 21 to 518 of the family's 1533-position model. The record is from RNAcentral.